This 384-nucleotide ribosomal RNA is filed under the name Zeus faber (John dory). RNAcentral describes it as "partial 16S ribosomal RNA". It matches the Rfam family "Bacterial large subunit ribosomal RNA", at positions 1965 to 2502 of the family's 2925-position model. The record is from RNAcentral. Lineage: Eukaryota; Metazoa; Chordata; Actinopteri; Zeiformes; Zeidae.
UCACUUGUCUUUUAAAUGAAGACCUGUAUGAAUGGCAUCACGAGGGCUUAGCUGUCUCCUUUUUCAAGUCAAUGAAUUGAUCUCCCCGUGCAGAAGCGGGGAUAANNNUAUAAGACGAGAAGACCCUAUGGAGCUUUAGACCUAAUGCAGNUCCACGAAUAAUACUUUUGAUGAAGAAAGAAAAGCUCAAUGGCUCCUGCACGCCUGUCUUUGGUUGGGGCGACCGCGGGGAAAAAUAAAACCCCCAUGAGGAUUGAGAGUUCUACUCCUAAAACCAAGAGCCACAGCUCUAAGUAACAGAAAUUCUGACCUAAAUGAUCCGGGAAACCGAUCAACGAACCGAGUUACCCUAGGGAUAACAGCGCAAUCCCCUUCCAGAGCCCA